GGGUUGUGAGGUUAAGCGACUAAGCGUACACGGUGGAUGCCCUGGCAGUCAGAGGCGAUGAAGGACGUGCUAAUCUGCGAAAAGCGUCGGUAAGGUGAUAUGAACCGUUACAGCCGGCGAUGUCCGAAUGGGGAAACCCAGUGCAAUUCGUUGCACUAUCGUUAACUGAAUACAUAGGUUAACGAGGCGAACCGGGGGAACUGAAACAUCUAAGUACCCCGAGGAAAAGAAAUCAACCGAGAUUCCCCCAGUAGCGGCGAGCGAACGGGGAGCAGCCCAGAGUCUGAAUCAGCUUGUGUGUUAGUGGAACGGUCUGGAAAGUCCGACGGUACAGGGUGAUAGUCCCGUACACCAAAAUGCACAGGCUGUGAACUCGAAGAGUAGGGCGGGACACGUGGUAUCCUGUCUGAAUAUGGGGGGACCAUCCUCCAAGGCUAAAUACUCCUGACUGACCGAUAGUGAACCAGUACCGUGAGGGAAAGGCGAAAAGAACCCCGGCGAGGGGAGUGAAAAAGAACCUGAAACCGUGUACGUACAAGCAGUGGGAGCACCUUCGGGUGUGACUGCGUACCUUUUGUAUAAUGGGUCAGCGACUUAUAUUCUGUAGCAAGGUUAACCGUAUAGGGGAGCCGCAGGGAAACCGAGUCUUAACUGGGCGUUAAGUUGCAGGGUAUAGACCCGAAACCCGGUGAUCUAGCCAUGGGCAGGUUGAAGGUUGGGUAACACUAACUGGAGGACCGAACCGACUAAUGUUGAAAAAUUAGCGGAUGACUUGUGGCUGGGGGUGAAAGGCCAAUCAAACCGGGAGAUAGCUGGUUCUCCCCGAAAGCUAUUUAGGUAGCGCCUCGUGAAUUCAUCUUCGGGGGUAGAGCACUGUUUCGGCUAGGGGGUCAUCCCGACUUACCAACCCGAUGCAAACUACGAAUACCGAAGAAUGUUAUCACGGGAGACACACGGCGGGUGCUAACGUCCGUCGUGAAGAGGGAAACAACCCAGACCGCCAGCUAAGGUCCCAAAGUCAUGGUUAAGUGGGAAAC
This 1037-nucleotide ribosomal RNA is filed under the name Klebsiella pneumoniae. Its description in RNAcentral is "bacterial LSU rRNA". It matches the Rfam family "Bacterial large subunit ribosomal RNA", at positions 1 to 1071 of the family's 2925-position model. Lineage: Bacteria; Pseudomonadati; Pseudomonadota; Gammaproteobacteria; Enterobacterales; Enterobacteriaceae. The record is from RNAcentral.